CUCUUCAUCGAUGCCUAACGC
RNAcentral lists this non-coding RNA (21 nucleotides) under Arabidopsis thaliana (thale cress). The record is from RNAcentral. Lineage: Eukaryota; Viridiplantae; Streptophyta; Magnoliopsida; Brassicales; Brassicaceae.